CUGAGUGGCCAUGUCAGGCUGAAUUAACCUGAUCUUGGAAUCUCAGCAGGCCUGGACCUGGCUAGCAAUACUUUGAUGGGAGACCACGUUGGACUCCUAGACAUGAUAGA
Molecule: ribosomal RNA, 110 nt
Filed under: Crocodylus porosus (Australian saltwater crocodile)
Lineage: Eukaryota; Metazoa; Chordata; Crocodylia; Crocodylidae
Source: RNAcentral